Molecule: ribosomal RNA, 134 nt
Filed under: Cronobacter turicensis 564
Lineage: Bacteria; Pseudomonadati; Pseudomonadota; Gammaproteobacteria; Enterobacterales; Enterobacteriaceae
Description: Large Subunit Ribosomal RNA; lsuRNA; LSU rRNA
Rfam family: Bacterial large subunit ribosomal RNA
Source: RNAcentral
GUGGCUGGGGGUGAAAGGCCAAUCAAACCGGGAGAUAGCUGGUUCUCCCCGAAAGCUAUUUAGGUAGCGCCUCGUGAACUCAUCUCCGGGGGUAGAGCACUGUUUCGGCUAGGGGGCCAUCCCGGCUUACCAAC